This 3197-nucleotide long non-coding RNA is filed under the name Carassius auratus (goldfish). RNAcentral describes it as "lncRNA (ENSCARG00000001905.1)". The record is from RNAcentral. Lineage: Eukaryota; Metazoa; Chordata; Actinopteri; Cypriniformes; Cyprinidae.
ACUAUAUACACAUGAAAGGGUCAUGAUUAGUCAGGUUGCAUGUUUUGAUCAAAAGGAGUCGAAACUAUGCUCUUGUGUUCUUUCAUUCUGUAAUUUUACUAUAAAAUCGACGUAAACGCAGCACUACAGUGGCUCACUUAAAAAGAAACCUCUCAGAAUGGAUAUCAAGCAUCUAGUUCAUUUUGAUAACAUUUUACAUUAUCUGAUGGAAAGCCAUAGCAGCGUUUUGAAUAAAAUUGGCAUGUGACUCAUGCGGAGGAUGUAUCAAUUUAGAGGAGAUGUGUGGUGUGCUUGUGCUUCUCAAACCACAACCUACAAAAUGUCAUACAAGACUGCGUUCCUGCUGCACUAACCCACUCACACUCACACACACACACACACACACACACACAUAAAAUAUGUAAAUAAUAAUAAAUAGAGCAAAUAUAAGUUGACAUGUUUGAUGAAUAAACUUUUGUUAUUUUAAAAAUGUUGAUUUAAAUCGUAUGUUCAUGUGACUGUUUUUUGUUUAGUAAAUUCUGUGUUGAUGUUCUUGUUAGCAUGACCCUGUUUAAACAGGAAGCAGCUAUGACACAAAGCAGUACGUAACACACACUCUCAUUUUGUCAAGUGUUAAAACAUUCAGAGUGUCUGUCAUGUUUGAAUCUGAUUUUGUCUGUAUGGGAUGAAAUUAAACACUUUCCACCUCCUGCUGUGUCAACAACAAGAUGGAUCAAAACAUGGCUGAUAUUCUGAACGAUGCAUUCAAAGAAACCGAGGCAAACUUUGAGCAUCUGAACUUUGAUGAUGACACAGCAACCGCACACAGCAUUAAUGUACUUCAAAAUAAGCCAGACAUGGAGGAGGACUCUGAUUCUGACUUAGAUUUAGAGUGGACGAAUAGGGAAGAGGAAACUGAGCACUGUUUUGAGAACAAUAGGAACUUCUCUUUAGAUGAACAAAGCUCGAAGGCAGGAUCUACGCUUUGUGGUUCACGGGAUGACAACGACGCAGUCGAAAAGAAGACACAAACCCAAAACCAGCAAUUAAGCUUGCAUGAAGAGGAUUGCAGAGAGAAUGAAUUUGAGAUACAUGAAGAUAUCCAUCAAAUGAACAAGGAACAAGCUGAAGAUGUCAAUGUGCUGGAAAUGGUUCUCCCAAAAGGAACUCAAUAUGGUCUGGAUACAAUGAGCACAUGGACUCAGGAGGAGACCACAUCUCGUCUCCUGGCCUCCCAGAUGGUGGAUAAAACCGAAAAUGAGUGCUCAACAUUAAAAGAGGAAAGAAUGGAGCCUGACAGCACUGAGGGAUGUGUCCUUCAGCAUGCACCAGAUGAUAAGCAGCUCAAUCAUUUAAGUGCCAUACAGUCAACAUUGCAAGACAACAGUGCAUCAGCGGAGGUUGAGUCUAUGGAUGAGAUAAAAGAGUUUACAGAAGAAGAUCAUGAGGACCAUGAGAGAGACGAGGAAGGUUUAGCAGAGUAUCCCUCUGAUCUGUCUCAAACUGACAGUGGGGACAGCAGUGAAGGACAACCCGAUCAAAUGGACACCAAGCAAGCUGAGGUGCAGGCUGUAGGCCCAGAAGAACAUCUCCAGCCGUACAGUGUUGUAACUUCAAGGAAAGAUGACGAUGAUGUCCAAAAGAAAGCUGAAUUUAUGGAUCCUGCAGACAUGCUCACUCGUGUCAAGAAUGAGGAUCUGUAUGUGGAGACAACAACUGGGAAAUCCGAUGAUGACAUCUUGUUCCAGUCAGAUGUUGAAUAUCAUCGCGAGAUUUCAAACAUUGGGGAAAGUUCUGAUUAUGGAAUCUCUGAGAAUUUCAAAUUCAAUUCCAAUGAAUCCUACAUGAAUGAGCAGCCGGACUAUGACAGUGAUUUCAGCAGUGAUGGGGACGACUACUGCAAAAACCAAGAAGAUACACCCGAUUUCAUUUCACAUACUGACACAGAGGACAAAAACACACACACCUUCACGAAGGACUUUGCUACAGACUGGCACAGUGUUGAGCACGAAGGAGUAGAUGGGGUGGUCAAAGAUAGCUUCAAACCAGAGAUGUGUGAUGUAGAAGGUUUAUCAAGCAUUCCAGCAUCUCGUGGAACUGUAGUGGAAGAGUCUUCUGAGACUGAUUCACCUGAAAACAUAAGUGUUGCUGAGUCACAUCCAUCAGUGGAAACAGACCAGGACAACAGAGAACAUAACAGUGAACAUUCAGAACUUUCAGAAACUGGAGAUACAAAUAUCAACACUCUGUUACCCGGGAUGUUUUGGUCCCAGGACAUUCUGAAGCUCGAUGAAUAUGACUGGGAGAUUAAUAGAGGAGAGGUGAUCUGUGAUGAGGAGGACAAUUACCUGGAAGAGCUGGAGAAUGAUGAGGAAGACACCGAGAGGGACUGGGAGAAAGAAAAGGCAAGAAUUGAAGCAUUUAACAGAUACUACGAGUCUGUCGAAGACGAGGAAACCAAGGGGAGGAGCCACAAAGUGACAUUUUGUUUGGAGCCAGAAUCCUCUCAGUAUGAGGAGGAUAGUUACAGCAGUGAAGAGGAACCGAGCACAGUAAGUUGCAUCAGUGAGUUGCAUCCUCCAGAGUCCAGUUCAAUCAAACGAGACCAAAGCAACGAGGAAGACAGCCGUGAACCCUCACACAUCAUAGACAAUAUCAGCGCCCUUCUGAUGGAUGAGGACAACAUGAAACUUGAGGAUUAUGACUGUGAUAUUAAUGAAGAAGUUCAAGUGAACUCAGGUACAAUGAUCGGUGAUGAUGAUAACGAUUUCCUGGAGAAGCUGAAAAGUGAAAUAGAGAGGGAAAUGAAGCAGGAACAAGCGAGAACUGAUGCAUCUAACAGAUAUUAUGAAGAGGAACAAAAUGAGGCCCCAGACAGGACCCACAAAGAAAUGUUAAGAUUUCGCCAACAAUCUUCUCAAAACGAGGAAGAUAAUGAUAGCAGUGAACAGGAAUCAAACACUGAAGAUGACACUGUCAGCAUCCUGAAGACUGAGGAGCAAAGUGAUUCUGAUGAACCAACCGAGAGACGCUUGUACACAGGAAGGUACAAAGUCUUAUCAAAGGGGUUACAGAAGGCAGACAAGCAGCUGAAGGAACAACCCAAGAGAAAUAAGUGUCUUGCCCUGCUGCGUUCAGUGCUAGCAGUGGGUCUAGUGACGACGGUGGGUGUGCUGUCUUACUGGUGGGCCUCAGAAAACCUGGACUGGAUCUACUGA